ACUUCAGCCUGGGCAACAGACUGAGACCCUGUCUCAAAAAAAAAAAAAAAAAAUUAAAGAGUUGUAUGAGGCGCCAGCUUCCUCAGAAGGCUAGUGAAGUGGAUCAUCUUUUCCAGAAGUUCGGCAUCAAUCAGCACCCCAGCCUUUGUGCUCUUCUGACUAUAAUAUGGAUGUGCUCCAUUGAAAGUUGGGAUCCAUGGGCCCUUGCCUUGAACCUGGGCUUUGUGCCAUUGAAAGUAAUGGCAAAACCCGCAAUUACUUUUGCACCAAAUAAUAACUUCCCCAGUGAGGGUAGAAUGGGUGAGGAAGGGCCUGCAGAGCUCCUGAGGAUAAAAGAGAAAAAGCAAUGCAGUAUCCUCUCGGUCUGUCUCCGGACGCUGUCCUUACAGACCAGCCAGUGUGUUCUGAGGAAGGCCAGGCACAGGAGGAGGCCAUGCAUGUGAGAGUCCCAGCAACAGCCCAGCCGGGCCCCUCCAGCCUGGAGCCUCCCAGUAGAGGCUGUAGACAAGGUGUCUCACUGCCCAGGGCCAACUUCCAGCCCAGAAAACCAUAGCACCAGCAAAGGAGGUCAGCAGGUGGGGGGCCUCCAUAUCCAGAGGUUCUGCAUCUGCGUGCUCAUUCAACCAUGAAUUGAAAAUAUUUGGGAAUAUUUUCAAUUAAUAAAUAAAAAAUAAUACAACAAAAAAGUAAUAUAAAUUAAAAAUACAGGAUAACUAUUUACCUAGUAUUUAAUUGUAUUAGCUAUUAUAAGUAAUCUAGAGAUGAUUUAAAGUAUACAGGAGGAUGUGCACAGGUUAUAUGCAAAUACUACACCAUUUUAUAUAGGGACUUGAAUAUCCACAGAUUUUGGUAUCCAUGGGGGUGUCUUGGAAACAAUCUCUCACAGCUACCAAGGGACAACUGUUUUUACUAGUUUUAAGCUACUGAUUUUCAAGGUAAUUUUAUUACACAGCAAUUGAUACUUCUUUUACAUUAUUUCCCCUAGAUCAUAUGCCAGGUGGUCGCCCCUCUUCAACCCAAAAGGUGUGUGGAUUUCAGUCUUGAGUGGCAGAAGCAGGGUAGGCUUGCACUUGAGAUGACCCUAGGGACAGCAGAAGCCAAGGGUAACAGCUUCCUGAAAACAGAAUGAGCUGAAAGACCUCACGGUAAAGAAGGAGACCUCUCUCAGCGCUUUCCUCCAUCCCUGUUCCCAGGAUGCUGGUGCCAGGCUUAUUGCCCAGGAGACAGGAGGCUGCAGAUGCACUGUCUGGGCAGCUCACUCAACAGAUGCUGGCAGGUGUACAUGUUUGGAGUCCCCAGAGGAACAGCUGGGUCCUCAUCCAAUUACAGAAAACAGGUAUCCCCCAUGCACAGAGCUCCUGAAAGUCUCUUUCAGGCCUUACUCUUAAACAUGAGCAGACAGGCUAAGAGCAAACAUCUGAGUACAUCCUCUUGUUAGUAAGGAAGAAAACUAUGCAGAAAAAGACAAGGCAGGGAAUGGAAGGCAGCUCCGAAAAGAUAUUUCUGGCUUUCUUUUUUCUUUGUAGGUUAAAAGAAAUCUGAAAACAGAAUGCUAUUUUUUUUUUUAAUGUAAAGAACAUUAGAGACCAGAAAUAGAUGAUCUCUUGGGAAUUUAAAACUAAGGUGAGAAUUUAAAAUUUCAAUAGAAAUAUUGAAAGAUAAAAAUGAAGGGUUCUCCCAAAAAAUAGAACCAAAAAUUCCAAAUUCCAAUGUUGAAACAUUUUUAAGUAAAAAUGUUAGAGGUCUGAUCCAGGAGGUACACCAUCCAACUAAGGAUAAUUAUAGAAAAAGAAAAUAAAGCAUAUGGAGCAGCGAAAAUUAUUUUUAAACAGAAAAAUAGGAACUAUCACUGAACUGAGAGAAGCUUCCAGAAUGAAAAGGCCCAGCCAAAUGAAUGAAAAAAGACACACACAGGCACAUCAUAAAAUUUUAGAACAUCUAGGAUAAAAAGAAUCUUCCCAAAAGCUUCCAACGAAACGAAAUGAAAACAAAUAUGGGGGGGGGGCGAGUCACAUACACAAAGCAGGUGUCAGAAUGGCAUGGCACUUCUCAAGACUACGACCCGAGGCUAGGAUUCAGUGUAAUCAUAAUGCCUUCAAAUGCUGAGGUUUCCAAUCGAGAAUUAUCUACCUUGACAAAAUAUCAAUCCUGAUAUAAUAAAGGCAUUUUCAGAUAUGCAAGGUAUAAAAUUUCUAAUUCCCAUGCAGUAUUUUACAGGCUCUACAGAGGAUGUGCUUAAUCAAAAGGAAGAAAUCAGCCAGGCAAAAGGAAGACCCAGAUGUGCACGGCAGGGGAUCACCUAAAGGAGGGAAAUGGUAAAGAAAGCCCAGUUCAGCAGCUGUGCCAGGUCUAGGCAGUAUAAAAUCUAGACUGGAACAAGGGGAUUGAGGGCUCAAAAAACAAAAAAUGUCUCCGAGGGAAAAAAAGACAUCAAACAAACAGAACACCUAAUAUAUCUGACAUAUGGCAAGUUUUAUGGUACUAUUAGGCUAUUUCAGGUGUUAGUGAUAGGUAAAAUAAAUAAGAAAUAAAAAACAGUGAUAGGUGGCUUAUUUUUUAAUAUCCUAUUACUGGAGUAGGAGCAAAAAAAAUGAGCAAACAAAAAAGUGAAACAAUUAUUAAUUUUACGAAAACCAUAAAUUUUAACAAAAAAAAAUCAGAAUAUAUUACAUGGCUCACCUGCAAAUAUUUACACAGCCAUAAUUCAAAUACAGAACAGAGAUUAAACAAAACAAUCAUACAGUUACUAUUGUGGGGAUAUGGGGGAGAAGAAAUGAGGGUCGGUAUGUGUCUGGGGGUAGAAUAGGGGAGACAAAGCUAAAAUCCUGAGCCAAAUCCUCAUCUCCCAUAAUGGGAAGUCAGUAGAUAAUGUUCACAAUCAAAAAGCCAACAGAUAAGUCUAAAUGAAAAGAGGGUGGCCAGUGCUGAAAGGAAAGCGAAAUGGAGUUGAAAGAGGCAAGGGGCAUGGGUGGGAAAUACGGCAGGGUCAUGUUUUGUCAUUUUAAGCAAAAUUGUUUAAAUUACUGCACGUGUAAACUUUGCUAAAAAUAAAAUCUAACCUGAAAAGAAAACGUGACUAUGAAGUAAGGAAUGGGAGACAGCCUAGACCACUCUUCACAGCGUAUUGGCAGUGGGAGGAAAAGACUCCCAUGGUCCACAAGCACUUCCCAAACCCCAACACACACACACACACACACACACACACACACACACACACACACACACACACGGGAUUUCCUAAUAGCUUUUUAGUGCCCAUCCCUUAAAUAAUAAUGAGGAACCAGGGAUCAAAGAGGCAAGAGGUGAAAGGCUGUGCUGAAGAAACACAGGAAGAGAAGAAAACAAACAAAAACUUCUAAUAUAUAUCACCAGUAAGAUAAAAUCCUAUAUGCAUGAAUCAGGAACCAGAUACUAUGUUUUCAAAAGAAAUAUAAAGGGAAGGAAAGGAGUGAGAGAAGGAAGAGAAUGCACGCCAGCCCAGAAAACAAUUCAAGAGCUCUUACAUUUAAAAGAAUAAUAGGAUCCCUCAAAUGGAAAAUGUAAUAAGCAAUUUAGAAAAUACAGCUGAGAAUAUCACCCAGAAAUCAAAACAACAAAAGAUGAAAAUCUGUAAAGAAAAACUUAGAAAAUUAGAGGAUAAAAUGAUAGUCUAAUAUCCAACUAAGGACUUAAAAAAAUGGGAAAAAAAUAGAAAUGAAAUCAUUGCAGAAAAUUAAAAACAUGAGUUUGUCUACAAAGACCUGCCAAGUGCCCAGCAAAGCAAAGGAAAACAGAUCUAGAUCAAGGAAAAAUGUCAGAACACAAAGGCCAAAGAGAAGACCCUGAAAGCUUCCUGAAGGGGAACACGUUUCUUACAAAAGAUCCAGAUCAAGAAUCAGAAUGAUGCAGGUCUGUAACAUCAGCUGUCACAAUACAUAGGAGGAGAUGCCUCCAGAGUGUGUACAGACUAGAAUUCCGUGCCCAGCCACACUCACCAAAUUGUAAGGGUAGAAUAAAGCCAUCUCCUGGCAUUUGAGGAAAACUAACCUUUGAACCAUCCUCUCUCAGGAAGCCACUAGAAGAUGUGCUCCACCAAGAAGGGGUAAACCAAGAAAGGAGAUGACAUGAGGGCCACACGACAGAGACUCAAACCAAGAGAGAAGCCCAGAAAGGUCCUAGGGGGAUGGCCAAGGGCCCUUCCAAGAUGCCAACCAGCCAGCAGGCCACAACAGCAGCAGCCACGUCUGACAGAACAGUGAUCACUGAAGCAUCAGGAUUUGUGGGGAUUCACAAGUAACAUGAUGGUGGGAGGAGGCAACCCUGCCUCCGAUGAUGAGCCGAAAAUAGCUGAAGAUGGUACAACCAAGAGCAAAGCAACCUGGCUCAGAGCCGAAAUUUCAUCUCCUCCUCAGCCUCUCACAGAGAAGCCAGGAAGAGUCUGAUUGGCUUGCAAUCGGGUAAACAAAAAUACAUAAAUAAAUAAAGUCACUGAUCCUGA
Sapajus apella (tufted capuchin) is the source of this 4477-nucleotide long non-coding RNA. RefSeq lists it as uncharacterized. The record is from RefSeq and is a predicted model, not a curated record. Lineage: Eukaryota; Metazoa; Chordata; Mammalia; Primates; Cebidae. The transcript is spliced from 2 exons.